RNAcentral lists this signal recognition particle RNA (286 nucleotides) under Phascolarctos cinereus (koala). RNAcentral describes it as "Metazoan signal recognition particle RNA (ENSPCIG00000024224.2)". It matches the Rfam family "Metazoan signal recognition particle RNA". Rfam says of the family: The signal recognition particle (SRP) is a universally conserved ribonucleoprotein. Lineage: Eukaryota; Metazoa; Chordata; Mammalia; Diprotodontia; Phascolarctidae. The record is from RNAcentral.
CCUAGUAACAGUAGUCCCUGAUGCUGGGGAGGUGAGGAUGGUGGGAUUGCUUGAGUUCAAAAAUCCUGAGUUAUAAGGCUAAAGCCAGUUUAGCGUGUCUUCAUUAAGUCUGGCACCAAUAUGGUGAACCCUUAGGAGUGGGGGCUACCAGGUUGCUUGAGGAGGGAUGAACUGGUCCAGGUUGGAAAUAGAGCAGGUCAAAGUUUCUAUUCCAAACAGCAAUGGAGUCAGCUCAUGAGUAGCCCUUGUCCUUCCACUCUGGGUGAGAUAGGAAGAUAAAACUUCA